UUCAGUUCAUAAACUCAUUUGAUGUUUUAGAUUUUGAUGAAGACUUCACAAUGCCGCCUUAAUAAAUGAAUCGAAUGGUGAGUGAGACACGCAAUAUUAGUUAUGUGAAUUCACCAUGUUUUAUUAGUUUAUUUUCGUCAUUGGUGAUAUCCUACUAUAUUUGUUACGGUAUUAGACAUUUAGUUGGAUUUUAAAAAUUUAA
RNAcentral lists this small RNA (202 nucleotides) under Arabidopsis thaliana (thale cress). RNAcentral describes it as "ATSL174290". Lineage: Eukaryota; Viridiplantae; Streptophyta; Magnoliopsida; Brassicales; Brassicaceae. The record is from RNAcentral.